CCUACGGGGAGCAGCAGUGAGGAAUAUUGGUCAAUGGACGAGAGUCUGAACCAGCCAAGUAGCGUGAAGGAUGACUGCCCUAUGGGUUUUAAACUUCUUUUAUAUGGGAAUAAAACGUUCCACGUGUGGGAUUUUGUAUGUACCAUAUGAAUAAGGAUCGGCUAACCCCGUGCCAGCAGCCGCGGUAAUACGGAGGAUCCGAGCGUUAUCCGGAUUUAGUGGGUUUAAAGGGAGCGUAGGUGGAUUGUUAAGUCAGUUGUGAAAGUUUGGGGCUCAACCGGAAAAUUGCAGUUGAUACUGGCAGUCUUGAGUGCAGUAGAGGUGGGCGGAAUUCGUGGUGGAGCGGUGAAAUGCUUAGAGAUCACGAAGAACGCCGAUUGCGAAGGCAGUUCACUGGACUGCAACUGACGCUGAGGCUCGAAAGUGUGGGUAUCAAACAGGAUUAGAUACCCCAGUAGUC
This 460-nucleotide ribosomal RNA is filed under the name uncultured bacterium. RNAcentral's name for it is "partial 16S ribosomal RNA". It matches the Rfam family "Bacterial small subunit ribosomal RNA", at positions 338 to 795 of the family's 1533-position model. The record is from RNAcentral.